UAAGGAAUAUUGCUCAAUGGGAGAAAUCCUGAAGCAGCAACGCCGCGUGGAGGAUGAAGGGUCUAUGACUUGUAAACUCCUGUAAAGAAGGAAAAAAUUCCCAUUAGAUGGGAGAUGAUGGUACUUCUGGAGUAAGCCCCGGCUAACUACGUGCCAGCAGCCGCGGUAAUACGUAGGGGGCAAGCGUUGUCCGGAUUUACUGGGUGUAAAGGGUGCUCAGGCGGAUUUGUAAGUCAGAGGUGAAAUCUUACAGCUUAACUGUGAAACUGACUUUGAUACUGCAAGCCUAGAGUAUGGAAGAGAGUGAUGGAAUAUCUGGUGUAGCAGUGAAAUGCGUAGAUAUCAGAUAGAACACCAAUGGCGAAGGCAGUCACUUGGUCCAUUACUGACGCUAAAGCACGAAAGCGUGGGUAGCAAACA
Molecule: ribosomal RNA, 420 nt
Filed under: uncultured bacterium
Lineage: Bacteria
Description: bacterial SSU rRNA
Rfam family: Bacterial small subunit ribosomal RNA
Source: RNAcentral